UACGGGGGAUGCAAGCGUUAUCCGGAAUCAUUGGGUGUAAAGCGCCUGUAGGUUGUUUGAUAAGUCUGUUGUUAAAGCCUAGGGCUUAACCCUAGAAAAGCGAUGGAAACUACCAGACUAGAGUAUGGAAGGGGUAGAGGGAAUUUCUAGUGUAGCGGUGAAAUGCGUAGAUACUAGAAAGAACACCAGAAGCGAAAGCGCUCUACUGGGCCAGUACUGACACUCAGAGGCGAAAGCUAGGGUAGCAAAAGGGAUUAGAUACCCCUGUAGUCCUAGCCGUAAACGAUGGAUACUAGAUGUUGUGCUCCGCAGUAUCGUAGCUAACGCGUUAAGUAUCCCGCCUGGGGAGUACGCUCGCAAGGGUG
RNAcentral lists this ribosomal RNA (365 nucleotides) under uncultured phototrophic eukaryote. RNAcentral's name for it is "SSU rRNA". It matches the Rfam family "Bacterial small subunit ribosomal RNA", at positions 524 to 896 of the family's 1533-position model. The record is from RNAcentral.